Small nucleolar RNA from Rattus rattus (black rat), 140 nucleotides. RefSeq annotates it as small nucleolar RNA SNORA48. The transcript has a single exon. NCBI's taxonomy places the organism in Eukaryota, Metazoa, Chordata, Mammalia, Rodentia, Muridae. The record is from RefSeq and is a predicted model, not a curated record.
CACCCCCGGCAAUGGGCUAAGAAGCAUCAUGUUGGUGGUGCUCUUAUGACAGGCAGGGGUAGAGCAGAUGCAGUCCUUUGUUCUCCCUAACUUGAUGGCUGGCUUGGUGGCCAAAGCUGUCUUAUGCCUAGGACUCAUAA